RNAcentral lists this ribosomal RNA (515 nucleotides) under uncultured bacterium. RNAcentral describes it as "partial 16S ribosomal RNA". It matches the Rfam family "Bacterial small subunit ribosomal RNA", at positions 28 to 523 of the family's 1533-position model. The record is from RNAcentral.
GAUGAACGCUGGCGGCGUGCCUAAUACAUGCAAGUCGAGCGAAUGGAUUAAGAGCUUGCUCUUAUGAAGUUAGCGGCGGACGGGUGAGUAACACGUGGGUAACCUGCCCAUAAGACUGGGAUAACUCCGGGAAACCGGGGCUAAUACCGGAUAAUAUCUUGAACUGCAUGGUUCAAAAUUGAAAGGCGGCUUCGGCUGUCACUUAUGGAUGGACCCGCGUCGCAUUAGCUAGUUGGUGGGGUAACGGCUCACCAAGGCAACGAUGCGUAGCCGACCUGGGAGGGGGAUGGGCCACAAUGGGACUGAGACACGGCCCAGACUCCUACGGGAGGCAGCAGUAGGGAAUCUUCCGCAAUGGACGAAAGUCUGACGGAGCAACGCCGCGUGAGUGAUGAAGGCUUUCGGGUCGUAAAACUCUGUUGUUAGGGAAGAACAAGUGCUAGUUGAAUAAGCUGGCACCUUGACGGUACCUAACCAGAAAGCCACGGCUAACUACGUGCCAGCCGCCGCAGUAA